Molecule: ribosomal RNA, 511 nt
Filed under: uncultured Verrucomicrobiota bacterium
Lineage: Bacteria; Pseudomonadati; Verrucomicrobiota
Description: bacterial SSU rRNA
Rfam family: Bacterial small subunit ribosomal RNA
Source: RNAcentral
UCGAGAAUUUUUCUCAAUGGGGGAAACCCUGAAGGAGCGACGCCGCGUGGAGGAUGAAGGUCUUCGGAUUGUAAACUCCUGUCAUUGGUGAACAAGGUCUAUCGGGUAACUACCGAUGGGAUUGAUAGUAGCCGAAGAGGAAGAGACGGCUAACUCUGUGCCAGCAGCCGCGGUAAUACAGAGGUCUCAAGCGUUGUUCGGAUUCAUUGGGCGUAAAGGGUGCGUAGGCGGCGAGGCAAGUCUGGUGUGAAAUCCCGGGGCUCAACCCCGGAACUGCACUGGAUACUGCUUUGCUAGAGUACUGGAGAGGGAACUGGAAUUUACGGUGUAGCAGUGAAAUGCGUAGAUAUCGUAAGGAGACCAGCGGCGAAGGCGAGUUCCUGGACAGUUACUGACGCUGAGGCACGAAGGCCAGGGGAGCAAACGGGAUUAGAUACCCCGGUAGUCCUGGCAGUAAACGGUGUAGCGUUUGGUGUGGGAGGAUUCGACCCCUUCCGUGCCGGAGCUAACG